This 409-nucleotide ribosomal RNA is filed under the name bacterium. RNAcentral's name for it is "partial 16S ribosomal RNA". It matches the Rfam family "Bacterial small subunit ribosomal RNA", at positions 355 to 776 of the family's 1533-position model. The record is from RNAcentral.
UGGGGAAUAUUGCACAAUGGGCGAAAGCCUGAUGCAGCGACGCCGCGUGAGGGAUGACGGCCUUCGGGUUGUAAACCUCUUUCAGUAGGGACGAAGCGCAAGUGACGGUACCUGCAGAAGAAGCACCGGCUAACUACGUGCCAGCAGCCGCGGUAAUACGGAGGGUGCGAGCGUUGUCCGGAAUUACUGGGCGUAAAGAGCUCGUAGGCGGUUUGUCACGUCGUCUGUGAAAUCCUAGGGCUUAACCCUGGACGUGCAGGCGAUACGGGCUGACUUGAGUACUACAGGGGAGACUGGAAUUUCUGGUGUAGCGGUGGAAUGCACAGAUAUCAGGAAGAACACCGAUGGCGAAGGCAGGUCUCUGGGUAGUAACUGACGCUGAGGAGCGAAAGCAUGGGUAGCGAACAGG